AACGCGAAGAACCUUACCUGGGCUCGAAAUGUAGUGGAAUAGGGUGGAAACAUCCUAGGCUCGCAAGAGACUGCUAUAUAGGUGCUGCAUGGCUGUCGUCAGCUCGUGUCGUGAGAUGUUGGGUUAAGUCCCGCAACGAGCGCAACCCUUAUCCCUAGUUGCCAUCGGGUCAAGCCGGGCACUCUAGUGAAACCGCUCAGGAUAACUGGGAGGAAGGUGGGGAUGACGUCAAGUCCUCAUGGCCUUUAUGUCCAGGGCUACACACGUGCUACAAUGGUCGGUACAAACCGUCGCAAACCCGCGAGGGGGAGCUAAUCGGAAAAAGCCGGCCUCAGUUCGGAUUGGAGUCUGCAACUCGUCUACAUGAAGUUGGAAUUGCUAGUAAUGGCGUGUCAGCAACAACGCCGUGAAUACGUUCCCGGGCCUUGUACACACCGCAUAC
RNAcentral lists this ribosomal RNA (442 nucleotides) under uncultured bacterium. RNAcentral's name for it is "bacterial SSU rRNA". It matches the Rfam family "Bacterial small subunit ribosomal RNA", at positions 958 to 1397 of the family's 1533-position model. The record is from RNAcentral.